GAUUUAACCGCGAACGGCGGUGACGCUACCGAGCGCAGAGCGGUGGGAAAAGCGAGGAGGGAUGAGCGAAGACAUCAGCGGGCGACCGAAACCCCUUCUCCUCCUCGUCGUCGCGAUUUCUCUUCGGUCGGUCUCAGGUCUGUCUGAUGAUCAUCCAGGUUCCAAGGAUGCAGUAAUUGCCGAUGCUAACCCUUCUAAUUCUAGUAGUAACACGAGGCGUGAGGUUUUGUUGAUAUGCUUGGGUGUUGUGGGAAUUGCACUUUUGUUUGUUUUUCUUCUCAAGCUUUGGGAGAAAAAGAAGAGGGAAGAGCAACAUGCUCGUCUUUUGAGACUGUUUGAAGAGGAUGAUGAACUGGAGCUUGAACUUGGUCUUCGAGACUGAGAGGCACGUCUUGCAGCUGUUUACACUAUCAUUGUUGAGGUAUGGCGAAUCUCCACAACAGAUUUUCUGCUUUGAGUGAUUAUAAGGGUUCUGCUAUAUCCAACACUUAGUCUCUACAAAUGAGGUCAUAUGUAUUUCUUUCUUUUUUUGUAGUGAAUGUUGUGGUACAAUGGAAGAAAACUCUUUCCUCAUCUCUGGUGAUGUAUUUUCAUCUGGUAACCGAGAACUGGUCUCUUUGUAUCGUUACUCUGAUGUCAUAUUUGUUGCAGUCUGAUGAUCAAAUCACAUGGACUGUGCCUCGAUAGGAGUCGCAAAAUGCGGGCUGCAAAUGAAAGCCUUGUUGGCAUGCUUCUUCGGAAUUGACUUCUCAGAACCACCCUUUGAUUCCAGGAACUCUUGCCAUGUCAAAUUUAUCAAGAUCAGACGCAGCUUCACCUUUGGAUGUGAAAUAAAGAAGCUGAUCCAGCGGCGAAGAAUUUAUUAUGAAUUCAUCUUCCGCAACAUGUUCUACUGAUUGCAUUGCACGAUUCGACCCUCACUCAUUUCCUCGACAUAUUGAAACAACAUCUGGUUCACAUUCUUCUGCUGUGAAUCUUGGGUUUUAAUAUAUUCGCAUCACUUGCUUUUUCAUGCAUCCAUGUAUUCGAUUCUCACGCCUCUUUAUCUGGUUUCAGAGGUACCUAAAUUUGCAUAUUUUGUAGACAAAGCGUUGGACCAUUGCAAAUGUCUCUGUUAUCAUUCAUCCUCGACUAUAUUCGAUGGUGUGUAUUUGGGAUCUCAUUCCUAUGGGAUGAGGGUUUAAACUCUCUUCGGA
Molecule: RNA transcript, 1196 nt
Organism: Musa acuminata AAA Group (dessert banana)
Lineage: Eukaryota; Viridiplantae; Streptophyta; Magnoliopsida; Zingiberales; Musaceae
Exons: 5
Source: RefSeq, a predicted model, not a curated record